AAGACCAGACUUUCAGGGAUCAUUUCUAUAGUUUCUGACUUGAGGAAUGUGCUUCUAAAGUAUCUGGUCUCGCUAACCACGAUGAUGAGUCAUGAUAUUCUCCUCUGAGCGUGAAGCUGACAGAAAGUGAUUAUUAAGUUCACAUGUUCUGUCAUUGAUGAUUGUUGUGUACUUCCUCAUGGAGUACGCAGGAAGAGAGUAUGUUCAGAGUGGU
Molecule: small nucleolar RNA, 214 nt
Organism: Acanthopagrus latus (yellowfin seabream)
Lineage: Eukaryota; Metazoa; Chordata; Actinopteri; Spariformes; Sparidae
Product: small nucleolar RNA U3
Exons: 1
Source: RefSeq, a predicted model, not a curated record